CGGCAUAGCACAGUUGGUAGUGCAUCCGCCUUGUAAGCGGAAGGUCGUCGGUUCGAAUCCGACUGCCG
RNAcentral lists this transfer RNA (68 nucleotides) under zebrafish metagenome. It matches the Rfam family "tRNA". Rfam says of the family: Transfer RNA (tRNA) molecules are approximately 80 nucleotides in length. Their secondary structure includes four short double-helical elements and three loops (D, anti-codon, and T loops). The record is from RNAcentral.